GCGAGUGAACCGGGAUGAGCUCAAAUUUGAAAUCUGGCGUCCUCAGGGCGUCCGAGUUGUAAUCUAUAGAGGCGUUUUCCGUGCCGGACCGUGUCCAAGUCCCUUGGAACAGGGUAUCAAAGAGGGUGACAAUCCCGUACUUGACACGACGACCGGUGCUCUGUGAUACGUCUUCUACGAGUCGAGUUGUUUGGGAAUGCAGCUCAAAAUGGGUGGUGAGUUCCAUCUAAAGCUAAAUAUUGGCGAGAGACCGAUAGCGAACAAGUACCGUGAGGGAAAGAUGAAAAGCACUUUGGAAAGAGAGUUAAACAGUACGUGAAAUUGUUGAAAGGGAAACGAUUGAAGUCAGUCGUGACUGUUGGGCUCAGCAGGUUCUGCCUGUGUAUUCCCUUCAGUCGGGUCAACAUCAGUUUUGACCGGUGGAUAAGGGCAGCAGGAAUGUGGCACCCUCGGGUGUGUUAUAGCCUGUCGUCGCAUACAUCGGUUGAGACUGAGGAACGCAGCUCGCCUUUAUGGCCGGGGUUCGCCCACGUCCGAGCUUAGGAUGUUGACAUAAUGGCUUUAAACGACCC
RNAcentral lists this ribosomal RNA (572 nucleotides) under Rhynchogastrema complexa. RNAcentral describes it as "eukaryotic LSU rRNA". It matches the Rfam family "Eukaryotic large subunit ribosomal RNA", at positions 89 to 650 of the family's 3401-position model. Lineage: Eukaryota; Fungi; Basidiomycota; Tremellomycetes; Tremellales; Rhynchogastremaceae. The record is from RNAcentral.